CAAUAGCGUAUAUUAAAGUUGUUGCAGUUAAAAAGCUCGUAGUUGAAUUUCGGGUCCCCGCGCUCGGCGCUUCAUUGUGCCGUCGUGGUGUCCCUCCUCGCCGUAAGGCGUCCUUUACUGUGAAAAAAUUAGAGUGUUCAAAGCAGGCAAUCGCUUGAAUACAUUAGCAUGGAAUAAUAAGAUAGGAUCUUGUCUAUUUUGUUGGUUGCGGACAACGAUAAUGAUUAAUAGGGAUAGUUGGGGGUGUCCGUAUUGAGCUGUCGGAGGUGAAAUUCUUGGAUUUGCUCAAGACGAACUACUGCGAAAGCAUUCACCAAGGAUGUUUUCAUUAA
RNAcentral lists this ribosomal RNA (332 nucleotides) under uncultured eukaryote. Its description in RNAcentral is "partial 18S ribosomal RNA". It matches the Rfam family "Eukaryotic small subunit ribosomal RNA", at positions 592 to 976 of the family's 1831-position model. The record is from RNAcentral.